RNAcentral lists this ribosomal RNA (746 nucleotides) under Liolaemus messii. RNAcentral describes it as "partial small subunit ribosomal RNA". It matches the Rfam family "Bacterial small subunit ribosomal RNA", at positions 98 to 1363 of the family's 1533-position model. Lineage: Eukaryota; Metazoa; Chordata; Lepidosauria; Squamata. The record is from RNAcentral.
GCACACCAGUGAGAAUGCCCUUAUAAAGCAUCAAGGAGCAGGUAUCAGGCACAAUCAGUUAGCCCAAAACACCUUGCUACGCCACACCCACACGGGCACUCAGCAGUGAUAAAUAUUAAGCAAUGAGUGAAAGCCAACUCAAGCUCGACUUAGUUAUGAUUAUUAGGGUCGGUAAACCUCGUGCCAGCCACCGCGGUUAUACGAGGAACCCAAAAUAACGGACACCGGCGUAAAUUGUGACUAGAGCACCUACUUAUAUAUUGGGAAAUAAACAAAAACUCGACCGUAAAACCUGAGCCAAAAGAAACAUACUUCCCCAACCACAAAGAAGCUUGAACCCACGAAGACUAAGAAACAAACUAGGAUUAGAUACCCUACUAUGCUUAGUUGUUAACAUGAUACCAAAAAACAUCGGUAUCCGCCAGAAAAUUACACGCGAAAAGCUUAAAACUCAAAGGACUUGGCGGUGCUCCGUAUUCGCCUUAGAGGAGCCUGUCCUAUAAUCGAUAAUCCACGCUUUACCUUGCCAUCUUUUGUCUAAACAGCCUAUAUACCGCCGUCGCAAACUUACCCCAUGAGGGCACAACAGUAAGUAAAACAGUAGUGCACUAGCACGUCAGGUCAAGGUGUAGCUAAUAAGAUGGAAGAGAUGGGCUACAUUUUCUAAAACAGAACAUACGGCAAAGAGCAUUGAAAUAUGCCCUAAAAGGCGGAUUUAAUAGUAAGAUAGAAAAGAGAAUCUAUCU